This is a long non-coding RNA of Gorilla gorilla gorilla (western lowland gorilla), 1076 nucleotides long. RefSeq lists it as uncharacterized. The transcript has 5 exons. The record is from RefSeq and is a predicted model, not a curated record. NCBI's taxonomy places the organism in Eukaryota, Metazoa, Chordata, Mammalia, Primates, Hominidae.
UCUUUCUCUCUCUUUCUCUCUCUCUCUCUCAUUCUCUCACUCUUUCAUUCUUUGUUUCUUCUUGCUUUCUUGCCCAGGCUGAAGAGCAGGGGCUCAAUCUCAGCUGACUGCAACUUCAGGGUUCAAGCAAUUCUCCUGCCCAGUCUCCUACGUUUCUGGGAUUACAGGAAAAUGGUCUCAGACAUCACACAAGCCUUCCAGAAAGAACCCAUCUGCCUCUUCUGUCUGAACUAACUCGUAGACCCCGUCACCACAGGCUGUGGCCCCAGCUUCUGUAGGCCCUGUCUCUGCCUUUCCUGGGAAGAAGCCAAAAUUCCUACCUGCUGCCCACAUGCGGGGAACUGUCACAGCAGGAGGACGUCAAAACCAAUAUUCUUCUGAAGAAUCCAGUGUGCAUUGCCAGAAAAGCCAGUCUCUGGCAAUUCCUGAGCUCUAAUGAAUAAACGUGUGGGAGCCACAGGGAGAAAAAAAGAUAUUGGAGUGGUGGAUAAGAGCCUCCUUCAUUUGCUGUUCUGGAACACUCAGGAGCACGGGGCUCCCAGACACCGUGAGGGGCAACUAAGGAACACUGGGAGACGAUAAUGAAGCAAAUGAGAUCUUUUUGGGAAAAAAUUCAAGAAAACCAAAGAAAGUUAAAUGAGGAGAGCAGGAAAACCAACUAGUGGAUUGAGUGAGUCAGAGCAGUGGCACAUGCCCCAGUGUGUGAGCUCAGAGCUCAGUGCUCAACCCAUCACUGGACUAAUGGACAGAUUUCAUGACUUCCAGAGCUGGGGUUUCUCCAUGUUGUCCAGGCUGGUCUUGAACUCCUGACCUCAGGUGAUCUGCCCGUCGUGGCCUCCCAAAGUGCUGGGAUUACAGGUAUGAGCCACCACUCUUGGUCUCAGGCAUGGUUUUACUACAGCCAAUUUUUUAUUCUUUAUUAAUCUUUCAUCUAAUAAAAGGGAACAGACUGUAAAUAGCAUUUAUAAACAUACUUAGUAAUACAUUUCUUAUGAUCAUAUGGAAAAAAUAAAUGAAAGCUGGUGUAAUGGUAAAUGUCAUUCUGUUUCCUUUUGAGUCUGGGCCUUUUGGGUCUG